This 317-nucleotide long non-coding RNA is filed under the name Capsicum annuum. RNAcentral's name for it is "long non-coding RNA (CANN_LNC020221)". The record is from RNAcentral. Lineage: Eukaryota; Viridiplantae; Streptophyta; Magnoliopsida; Solanales; Solanaceae.
GAGGGUAGAAUGUACGCAGAUCAUACUACUACCCCUAGCGAGGUAGAGAGGCUGCUUCCAUCAUUUUUUGUUACAAUUAAAAAUGGCCCAGUUCAGUAUCUUGCUUGUUCAUCCAUUGUUUAAUAGAAGACCAUAGAAUCUUUUUUCUUUUUUUGAAUGGUCAUCUGAGCAAAUUAUAAAAACUCCAAGUGUCAUCCUUCAUGCAUACAUGUUUAGGUAAUAGCAAGAACAAACAUCUCCAAAUUCAAUAACUUAUGAACAUUAUCACUUCAUUGUAUGUGGAAGGUAAUUUAUUGUCCUAACUUCUAAAUUUCUAA